GACGAACGCUGGCGGCGUGCUUAACACAUGCAAGUCGAACGGAAAGGCCCUGCUUUUGUGUGGUGCUCGAGUGGCGAACGGGUGAGUAACAAGUGAGUAACCUGCCCUUGACUUUGGGAUAACUUCAGGAAACUGGGGCUAAUACCUGAUAGGAGCUCCUGCUGCAUGGUGGGGGUUGGAAAGUUUCGGCGGUUGGGGAUGGACUCGCGGCUUAUCAGCUUGUUGGUGGGGUAGUGGCUUACCAAGGCUUUGACGGGUAGCCGGCCUGAGAGGGUGACCGGGCACAUUGGGCCUGAGAUACGGCCCAGACUCCUACUGGAGGCAGCAGUGGGGAAUAGUGCACAAUGGGCGGAAGCCUGAUGCAGCAACGCCGCGUGCGGGAUGACGGCCUUCGGGUUGUAAACCGCUUUCGCCUGUGACGAAGCGUGAGUGACGGUAAUGGGUAAAGAAGCACCGGCUAACUACGUG
This 468-nucleotide ribosomal RNA is filed under the name uncultured bacterium. RNAcentral describes it as "partial 16S ribosomal RNA". It matches the Rfam family "Bacterial small subunit ribosomal RNA", at positions 28 to 507 of the family's 1533-position model. The record is from RNAcentral.